This is an RNA transcript of Sphaeramia orbicularis (orbiculate cardinalfish), 2606 nucleotides long. It is a transcript of the gene named coiled-coil domain containing 85A, with no coding region annotated. The record is from RefSeq and is a predicted model, not a curated record. NCBI's taxonomy places the organism in Eukaryota, Metazoa, Chordata, Actinopteri, Kurtiformes, Apogonidae. The transcript has 4 exons.
ACGAAGAGAGAGAGAGAGAGCGGUCGAAGGGGCGAGAGACAGCCUGUUCCCUUACGCACCUUAUCCUCCCGGUUUUCCGGCUAUGCACCUGCAGCCACUCCUUGCAGUCGCCCUCAUCUUCCUCCUCCUCCUCCUCUUCCUCAUCCUCCUGUCCUCCUCCACGGCGGUCGGACAGCGGUAGUGCGCACUGAGCCUCCGUGAGUGCGCAAAGGUGUCCGGCGGCAUGCACCUGGAGAGAAACCGCCCCGCCGAACCGGAGGAGGGCUCCGCCGGAGACGCAACGGGAUGCGGACUGAUGCUCUAACGGCUGGGAUACAGCAGCAAGAGGCACCGGGCAGGAGAUCGGAGCCGCAGCAUGGGCGUGGGAGAAAGGAGAGAGGAGAGGAGCAGCUAAAAAAAAUGAACGCGAUGUAAUUACACGAGCAUCUAAAGAAGGGUGGGUGGGGGGAGAAGAACCUGAGCUGCGUUCGGAUAAAGAGUUGGAAAAAGGUGUAUUUUGGGUUUGGUUCGGUGUCUUGUCCUCUUUGAUUUUCACCAAAACAGUACUUUUCCUCCAGUGGAGUUUUUUUUUUUUUUUUAAUUAUUAUUAAUCAAGGAUGGAGAAAGCUGCGCAUCAGCCAUCCAAAGGCGCAGAGAGUCCGGCGGACGACCUCUCCAAAAUAACCGACGAGGAGCUGCUGAAGUGGGGGAAAGAGGAGCUGGUGAGGCGGCUGCGGAGGACGGAGGCAGAGAAGAGGAGUGUCAUAGUGGAACACGGCAAUCUGAUGAGGGAGGUGAACCGGCGACUCCAGCAGCACCUGAAUGAGAUCCGGAGUUUGAAGGACGUGAACCAGAAACUGCAGGAGGACAACCAGGAGCUGAGGGACCUGUGCUGCUUCCUGGAUGACGACAGGCAGAAGGGGAAGCGGGUGUCGCGGGAGUGGCAGCGUUUGGGCCGUUACAGCGCCGGGCUGAUGAGGAAAGAGGUGGCCAUCUACCUGCAGAAGCUGAAGGAGCUGGAGCAGCGGCAGGUGGAGGUCAUCCGUGAGAACCUGGAGCUGAAGGAGGUGUGCCUCAUGUUGGAAGAGGAGCGGGCUGCCGUCGUGGGUGGAGGGGGAGGCGGAGGAGGGGGACCCGGCUGCAGGAGCUCCAUCGACAGUCAGAGCAGCCUGUCACAGCUGGGUGGAGGCGUCCCCGCACCUGGUCUGCUCCGGGAUGUUGGAGACGGGAGCAGCACCUCCAGUGCAGGGAGUACGGAUAGCCCCGAUAACCCCCACCACAAGCCCCCUCCCCUGGGCUCUAAUGCCAGCCCUGGAUCUGGAUCGAGACCAGGAGACGUCUGUCAGUCCCCAGGUGGCAGGAGACACAGCUCCACCCCGGAGUACCACACCUUCCCCCAGUCCUGCCGGCCUCGAGGUGGGUCCCUCACCAACCUGGAACCUCACGGUCUUCGAGGUCACAGUCCAGAAAAACACAGCAAGUCCCCGACCAGAUGUGAUUACACCCCCAAACCCUGCAGCUCUGACCUACUGGCCCAGAAACAGAUAUUUAUCUCAGAGCAGGCGUCACCGGGGAAGGGCACGGCCAAGUCCAGCCCAGAACUGAGUCAGAGACACCGGCCGGUGACGGGGACAGCGGGCGGCGGGGGUCUGGACGCAUCAAUGGGAACACCCGAGCACAUAAGGAAAGCACGGGUGAUCGUGGGGAGUCCGGAGUCUAUACGGCACCACCAUCACUACCAGCACAGUCCUGGACUGGAGCAGGGGAAGGGGAGGUACAGCAGCAGCUCACCCGGAAGGGACGGGAGCAGGAGGAGGACCCCGGGCGAGGAGGUGAACACCCACCACCAGAGUCUGUACAACGGUAGGCACAGGCUCUGAUAUCUGCUGGCUGCUGCACCAACUCCUGUAGGAGUACAAAGCUUUGGGACAGCUUUGAUGCUUCCUGACCAUGACAUGCCUCUCGAUCAGAUGCUGCUGUGACAAGAUACCCAGGAGACCGAGGACGGGGUUAUUAGCAGAAGGAAAAAAGUGGAUCAAUACUUAAGUGGAUGGAUAAACGGAGGGAUAUGUGAAUUUCUAAAUGAAGCAGUGAAGGACGAGCGAGCAGACGAGUGGAACAAGGCGACAAAGUGGCAAAACUCCGGAAAACACUUGAACAUUCAUAUUCUCUGCCCUGUCUGCUGCUGCUGCUGCUGCUAUGCAUUUCCUGUUGACCACCAGAAAAGACUGAAUGUCACUGAUUGAACGGGCAGAGCCUAACCGCUGCAUUGCCAAAAUGAAAACAGGAAGUAAAUAAAAGACAGUGGAAUAUCUUGUGUUGCCAACAAAAUAGUCCUACCUCUUUGGAAAGACAGAGACCCUUUGGAUGAAGGUGAUUUUCUCCUGGUAACACUGGAGGUUACAGCCCCUUUUCUCCAAAAAAAAAAAAAAAAAAAAAAAAUCACAUUGCCAGUGAUUAUUUUAAAACAUGUAACCUAACAUAUGAGGACUUUUACUAAAUUGUUCUGGACCAGUAAUUAAAGCACAAUAAGUAAUUUCAAUUUAACGGGGAUGAUGUUUUUACAGUUUUUAAAGGAUAAUUCUGAUUUAUUGCAACCUGGGUCUUAUUUUUGUUGGAAUCCAGAU